AAAAUGGUAUUCCAGCAAUUUGCUGGCCUCAAAAUCGUAUAUUUGUGGAAUAAAUCCGUCUUCAUGAGUAUUUCCGGAUGUAAAAAGUGGGUUUAUCCACUUUAAAUUAUUUGUCAGUGUAAGAAAAUUCGGUUCAAUCUUCUUUUUAACCCGUCCAUUUGUCACAGAUUUUUUUUUUGGUUAGAAUCUCGGUACGCAUUCAAAAGAAGCAGUUUUCAAACAAUUUAUUUAAAUAAUUCUAAUUUGCAUCACGCGUGCUACCAACGUAUUCAAGACUGAUUUAAACAUUAAAACAGGGCAACAAAACUCUCUCGUCUGUUUCGUGUAUUUGUUUAACGAUAUAGGUGAUAAAGAUAUUUCCAAUCGAUUUGUAGGAAACGGCUUACUGUCAAACUAGUGGAAACUGUGGUCAGGAUGGCUAUCAGACGUCAUUCGGAGAAUAUCAAUACAAUUCAAAUCAGCAGAAGAAGCAUUCGCGUGAAGUCAGGAUGGCUUUCGGGUAUCGAUCGGAAAAUCUGGAUG
Belonocnema kinseyi is the source of this 522-nucleotide long non-coding RNA. RefSeq lists it as uncharacterized. NCBI's taxonomy places the organism in Eukaryota, Metazoa, Arthropoda, Insecta, Hymenoptera, Cynipidae. The transcript has 3 exons. The record is from RefSeq and is a predicted model, not a curated record.